AAUUCUCAACCACAUUGUGGCUUGGAUAGUGGGGGUUAUAUUUGCAGGUUCUUUGAAUCUGCUCCCCUGAAAUGAAUUAGUGGUUUAGGAACUACUACAGGUGUGAUAAUCUAUCUAUGCCUUGGUAAUACUGCUGCACUGCUUCCAAUCAAUGACUUGACCA
RNAcentral lists this unclassified non-coding RNA (163 nucleotides) under uncultured Agaricales. RNAcentral describes it as "sequence contains ITS2". Lineage: Eukaryota; Fungi; Basidiomycota; Agaricomycetes; Agaricales. RNAcentral also lists the same sequence under 1 other name. The record is from RNAcentral.